Molecule: ribosomal RNA, 481 nt
Filed under: uncultured bacterium
Lineage: Bacteria
Description: bacterial SSU rRNA
Rfam family: Bacterial small subunit ribosomal RNA
Source: RNAcentral
GACGAACGCUGGCGGCGUGCUUAACACAUGCAAGUCGAACGGAGUUACGUAUGAAGUAUUUCGGUACGGACUAUGUAACUUAGUGGCGAACGGGUGAGUAACACGUGGGCAACCUGCCCUUAACCGGGGGAUAACAUUGUGAAAACAGUGCUAAUACCGCAUAACAGAGUAUCGGGCAUCCGAUAUUUUUAAAAGGAGCAAUCCGGUUUUAGGAUGGGCCCGCGUCCAAUUAGCUAGUUGGUGAGGUAACGGCUCACCAAGGCUACGAUUGGUAGCCGAACUGAGAGGUUGAUCGGCCACAUUGGGACUGAGACACGGCCCAGACUCCUACGGGAGGCAGCAGUGGGGAAUAUUGGGCAAUGGGCGAAAGCCUGACCCAGCGACGCCGCGUGAAGGAUGAAGGUCUUCGGAUUGUAAACUUCUUUGAUCAGGGAAGAAAGAAAUGACGGUACCUGAAGAACAAGCCACGGCUAACUACGUG